This 1622-nucleotide ribosomal RNA is filed under the name Lysinibacillus odysseyi 34hs-1 = NBRC 100172. RNAcentral describes it as "bacterial LSU rRNA". It matches the Rfam family "Bacterial large subunit ribosomal RNA", at positions 1192 to 2813 of the family's 2925-position model. The record is from RNAcentral. Lineage: Bacteria; Bacillati; Bacillota; Bacilli; Caryophanales; Bacillaceae.
CACCGAAGCUGUGGAUUGACAUCUUUGAUGUCAGUGGUAGGAGAGCGUUCUAACAGCGUUGAAGUCAGACCGGAAGGACUGGUGGAGCGGUUAGAAGUGAGAAUGCCGGUAUGAGUAGCGAAAGACGGGUGAGAAUCCCGUCCACCGUAUGACUAAGGUUUCCUGAGGAAGGCUCGUCCGCUCAGGGUUAGUCGGGACCUAAGCCGAGGCCGACAGGCGUAGGCGAUGGACAACAGGUUGAUAUUCCUGUACUACCUCCCCACCGUUUGAGAAAUGGGGGGACGCAGUAGGGUAGGGUAAGCAGAGCGUUGGUUGUCUCUGUUCAAGCAGUAAGGCGUGUGUGUAGGCAAAUCCGCACACUGUAACGUUGAGCUGUGAUGACGAGUCCGUAUGGACGAAGUUCCUGAUCUCACACUGCCAAGAAAAGCCUCUAUCGAGGUGGGAGGUACCCGUACCGCAAACCGACACAGGUAGUCGAGGAGAGAAUCCUAAGGUGUGCGAGAGAACUCUCGUUAAGGAACUCGGCAAAAUGACCCCGUAACUUCGGGAGAAGGGGUGCUCUGGUAGGGUGAAAGCCCGAGAGAGCCGCAGUGAAUAGGCCCAGGCGACUGUUUAGCAAAAACACAGGUCUCUGCAAAACCGUAAGGUGACGUAUAGGGGCUGACGCCUGCCCGGUGCUGGAAGGUUAAGAGGAGCGGUUAGCGCAAGCGAAGCUGUGAAUUGAAGCCCCAGUAAACGGCGGCCGUAACUAUAACGGUCCUAAGGUAGCGAAAUUCCUUGUCGGGUAAGUUCCGACCCGCACGAAAGGCGUAACGAUCUGGGCACUGUCUCAACGAGAGACUCGGUGAAAUUAUAGUACCUGUGAAGAUGCAGGUUACCCGCGACAGGACGGAAAGACCCCGUGGAGCUUUACUGUAGUUUGAUAUUGAAUUUUGGUACAACUUGUACAGGAUAGGUAGGAGCCAGAGAGCCCGGAGCGCCAGCUUCGGAGGAGGCGUCGGUGGGAUACUACCCUGGUUGUAUUGAAAUUCUAACCCAUGCCCCUUAUCGGGGCAGGAGACAGUGUCAGACGGACAGUUUGACUGGGGCGGUCGCCUCCUAAAAGGUAACGGAGGCGCCCAAAGGUUCCCUCAGAAUGGUUGGAAAUCAUUCGUAGAGUGUAAAGGCACAAGGGAGCUUGACUGCGAGACCUACAAGUCGAGCAGGGUCGAAAGACGGGCUUAGUGAUCCGGUGGUUCCGCAUGGAAGGGCCAUCGCUCAACGGAUAAAAGCUACCCCGGGGAUAACAGGCUUAUCUCCCCCAAGAGUCCACAUCGACGGGGAGGUUUGGCACCUCGAUGUCGGCUCAUCGCAUCCUGGGGCUGUAGUCGGUCCCAAGGGUUGGGCUGUUCGCCCAUUAAAGCGGUACGCGAGCUGGGUUCAGAACGUCGUGAGACAGUUCGGUCCCUAUCCGUCGUGGGCGUAGGAAAUUUGAGAGGAGCUGUCCUUAGUACGAGAGGACCGGGAUGGACAUACCGCUGGUGUACCAGUUGUUCUGCCAAGGGCAUCGCUGGGUAGCUAUGUAUGGACGGGAUAAGUGCUGAAAGCAUCUAAGCAUGAAGCCCCCCUCAAGAUGAGAUUUC